Molecule: long non-coding RNA, 875 nt
Organism: Neogale vison (American mink)
Lineage: Eukaryota; Metazoa; Chordata; Mammalia; Carnivora; Mustelidae
Exons: 3
Source: RefSeq, a predicted model, not a curated record
ACAUAUUUAAAGCUUUUGUGAGAUUUAUUGUGCAAUGCCAGCAGAAGACUCUUGAUCUCCCUGCAACUUGGCAGUCUGUUCUUUUACCAAUCACCAGGUAACUAAUUUCCAACAUGUCCAGGUUUAAGCCAGAAGAAAACGAAGACUACUGUAUCUGAGAUGAAACUGGAAAAAAAAUCACAGAAUCAAAACAUGAGCUAAAGAAACUGGAGUCCUAGAGACAGAUAUUAACUGACAGCGAGGAGAGAAAGCAAAAUGCUGAUGAGGAGGAAGAACGGGAACAAUCAAGUGUGCUUCAACCUUUGCGGGGAAAUCCAAGUGACAAUGGACUUUUUAUCUGUUAACUAUUAUCUGUUAACUUGGGGGAGACUUAGGAGAGCUGUAUGGUUUGACUCCCCAAUAACUACCAGGCAUAAUAGCAGGCAUUUUACCCAAGGAAAAAGAACUGACAUUUGCUAAGUUGUCUGCUAGAUACUAGAAAACAGGCUACUUUUUAUAUGCACAUUUCAUUGAUUCCACUAAUCCUCAGAACAUAAUACCUUUUUUUUGCAAAUGAAGAACUAGUUUUCGAAGGUUUGCAGAUGUAGCAAGUAUGUAGAAGAGGCAGGGAUUAAACAGGUCUGAACAACUCCCUAUAUUUUACUCUUUCAAAAAUACCAAGUUAGUAAGACCAGGAAAGUAAAACUCCUGUUAACAACUAGGGGAUCUUGGAAACGACACUUCUUAGAGUUAUUAUAUUAUUAACAUAUUUUUCAAAUGCAGUCUCUAUAUUGAUAGGAAUGUAAGUUCAAAUAUUUUAGAGGUUUUUACAAGGAGGUAGAAAUAUCAAACACAUAAAGAACCAUCCCAAGUAUUUUUGUUUUCAUUCCAAAAUU